RNAcentral lists this long non-coding RNA (2875 nucleotides) under Oryza sativa (Asian cultivated rice). Its description in RNAcentral is "long non-coding RNA (OSAT_LNC000167)". Lineage: Eukaryota; Viridiplantae; Streptophyta; Magnoliopsida; Poales; Poaceae. The record is from RNAcentral.
CGGUUAUAGAUGCCCUAACAAAACUUCAUAAGAAGAUAUCGCGAGAAAUAGUUGAGGAUCGAACUCUAUCUCAAAAGAGAAAUCGAUGUUUUACUACCAGUCACAAGCUUUAUGUUCGGCACAGUACUCAUACUGGAACUUACGAGCAAGAAUUGCGGAUAAGGGAAAGCCCGCUAUAUUAUAUAUAGUAAUCACCUGCCAAAAGGAAAGCCUGACCGAUAAUAAUAAUAGGUCUAUGCGCCGAACAAGCAAUGGUAUAUUAGAGAUAGUAAGGAGUUGUAUACACGGGGGUAUGCAUUCAUGUCACGCUUUCUGUGUGAUAAGAGGUUGCUAGCUAGCAAGUAUAGAAACAGGAGAUAUGCGUAGUUAACAGAAGCAAGGGAAUAUGCGUGAGUUGAUUUGAUAGUUUUUUUGAGAAAAAGCAAUUUCAUGAAGUUGGCCUUAGGUGUAAUAGGACUCCCAGUUACUGCGCGCGAUCGUAUACUGAGGUGCUCCCCGUCGGUUGUUGGAACGACGCGAGCCCCAAAAUAAUGUGACUUGGUCCCAAGGUAGAAAGUGAAGAACACUGAACAGAGCUGAAGCUGCAUGAUUAUGAAAUCCCCCAGGGCGCUUCUGAAGCCUCUUUCUAGUCCAAUCCCCCCACAUCGCGUAUAAAGGGAAUCGAACCCAACUCUUCCACUUGCCGCCAAUGCGGAAGGAUGCCACCAAAAAGAAAGGAGACUGAUCUUAACGUUGGCGUCGGUUUUUCCAAGAAAAGUUAGAUUUGAUUUGUCUUUUUCAUGCGGAACAGAACCGUAUUAGUAAGCGGGCCAGUUAACAGAAGCAAGGGAAUAUGCGUGAGUUGAUUUGAUAGUUUUUUUGAGAAAAAGCAAUUUCAUCUCAAGGGAAAGAUCAGAGGAGGAGAAGAAUGAAGGUGUGGGCGGGAAGGAGGAGGCAAGGCCCCCUCAAUGUUUAUUCGACUACUCAUUACGGAACCACCGAUUGAUCCGAUUAGACUUUCCGUGGUAUGUUGAGUUCUUGAAGCAUUGCCGAUAUCGAUAUAUAUUUCUUUGCAUGGGACAGUAGCCUUUUCUGCGGCGGAACAAGCUAAGAAGUGCAGGCGGCUCUUAUUUGAUAAGAUAAGGCAGAUGGUAUGAUCAAAUUCACUCUUGCGCUUUUUUUUGUAUUGAACGCAUGGCGUAGCUAGGACCCCUCCAAUCAUGUUUGAGCCUAUGUUCACCCGGGGUCCAAAAAGGAGAAUUCCGGAAUGCCUGCCGACGUUCAGAUAAAGUGCAUAUCCCUUACUACUAAAGGAAAGGCUCGACGAAGGGGGGGGAUUUUCCGGGUAAGGAAAAUGCUUUCGGAGAUUGAGAUGUCGAUUUGUUUUUCAUCGAAAAGGAAGAAGGCCGAGGGGAUAGCUGCCUUCCUUCGGGCUUUGCCUGCCGACAUUCUAAUAAAGAAUUCCGGCUCGGCCCGGGAAAGCGCUGGCAACAACAUAAAGAAAGGGGUCCAUGUAGCUGCUGCGCCCGCCCACUGAGCAGCAGGUUCGGCAUCUACUACAAAAGAGAGAAUCCACUUCAGAUAACCACGCCUCUGCUAGGCAGCGUGUGGAAUGGCCGGGAGCGGACCAAAUGGAUAUAUAAUCCAAGCCGAGAGUGGAGUUACGUGAACAGCCGUCUGAUGGAAAACAACUUUCGACUAGGAAAAUGAAGACAAAGGAAUUUGGAAUUACAAGACGGAUAUCAGCUUGCUACUUCUGACUUUGACUUUCAAUAGGGAGGUCAAAAACUAGCACUUUUUUCGAGGAGUGAUCAUGGUUGAUGUCUACUUGCCGGGCUGCCCACCUAAACCGGAGGCGGUUAUAGAUGCCCUAACAAAACUUCAUAAGAAGAUAUCGCGAGAAAUAGUUGAGGAUCGAACUCUAUCUCAAAAGAGAAAUCGAUGUUUUACUACUAGUCACAAGCUUUAUGUUCGGCGCAGUACUCAUACUGGAACUUACGAGCAAGAAUUGCUCUAUCAAUCACCAUCUACUUUAGACAUAUCUUCUUCAACUUUUUGAAAAUCCAAAAGUCCAGUAUCUUCCUACAAAUUAGUGAAUUUGCAGCAUUCUGAAUUCAUAAUUCGAACUGAUCAGCACAGUCUCGUGCAUUUAGAAGAUCAACGACUACACCUUGGCAGCAGAAGGCCUUCACUAAGUUUCUUGGACUUCAAUACCGACGCAAGGGAGCCAAGAAUGGAGCAGCUGAUGCUUUGUCCCGACGCAGCCAUAGAGUCGAUCUUGCAGAUAGGCGGAGGUAUGAUUGCUUGCUCCUUGCAUGUGAAGGUGGGAAACAAGGAAACAGCAGAAAUGCUUACUGGGACAUAGCCUUCGGUACGAGUUGAAGGGAAGAGGAUUGCUUGGAACCUCUAAGACAUGGCACCCCUGCCCCUUCCCGGCUACUGGAUCACUCCAGUGCUUCGGGUACUACGGACCCUCUGCCAUCCAUUGCAGCAGAGCCGUUUCAUGAGCGGGGGGGCUAAGCGCAGUUCUUUGAAUCAAAGGUUUUAUGAAAUCGAAAUUGAUUCUUUUUUAGAUAUCUGGAUAGAUGGAUGGGGCCUGGGAGUGAAUGUGGAAGCUUAACACUAGCAACGGGCAGAACAGUUGGUAAAGGAGAUCAUUGGCACUAUGGCGCAUGUAUGUUGAGUUCUUGAAGCAUUGCCGAUAUCGAUAUAUAUUUCUUUGCAUGGGACAGUAGCCUUUUCUGCGGCGGAUCGUUUCCUUUUCUCCAAUCAUAAAUAACCUGAUCUCUUUCUUUGUCUUUCAUCAAAUAAGUACAAGAAUUGCAUAGAUGAGGAUUCGGUAUUGAUCGCUAAAAUGCGAGAAAAAGACCCACGUUUCUCUGUUCGUCCGCUAUCA